This is an RNA transcript of Vigna radiata var. radiata (mung bean), 2785 nucleotides long. It is a transcript of the gene named protein CTR9 homolog, with no coding region annotated. The record is from RefSeq and is a predicted model, not a curated record. Lineage: Eukaryota; Viridiplantae; Streptophyta; Magnoliopsida; Fabales; Fabaceae. The transcript is spliced from 4 exons.
AAUAAAUUAAAAAGUUAUUAUUACGUAGAUAUGGAUAUACGUUAUAAUACGUUCUUUACCUCUGAAGUUUUCUCACUCUCACACUCUCGGUCUCAUCUGUUCCCUCUCACUCUCACAGUCUCGAUCCUCUCUUCCUUUCUAAACUCUCGAUCCUCCAUGCCGUGCUUUUCACACUCCUCCUCUGCGACGUGCUAGGGUUGCCAUUUUCUCGUCUCCUCCACCAAUGUCCACCACGUCGUGCUUACUAUGAGAACACUCCUCCUCUGCGAUGCGUUAGGGAUUUUCUCGUCUCCUCCACCAACGCCCACCACACCGUGCUUUUCUUAGUCUGAGAACACUCCUCCUCUGCGACGUGCUAGGGGCGGCCAUUUUUUCGUUUCCUCUACCAACUCCCACAAUCGUCUCUGAGAACCCUAACUCUAUGAUCUCAGUGGUAUCGUCGCAACUGGAACCGACUAAGAGGAAACAGAAGCGACUGAGGAAGUACGACACAUCAAAGCAAGCUCUUGCCGGUAUGUCGUCGUCUCAAUCGUUCUCUGCGGACAAGAAGCCCCACUUACCAACGUUCCCUUCUUCCUCAUCUUUCACGUCCAAGAAAUCCGAUUCCUUUACUCUAGAUAAUGAUUGGUAAAAAUGCAGAGGGAAUUUGAGAUAUACCCAUACUGUGCAAUGGCUCUGAAUUAUCUUGUAAAUCAUUUCUUCUUCACUGGUCAACAUUUUUUAGUUGAGCAACUGACUGAAACUGCAUUGGCUGUUACCAAUCAUGAGCCAACAAAGUCUCACUCAUACUACAAUUUAGCACGCUCAUACCAUAGCAAGGGAGACUAUGACAAAGUUGGGGUGUAUUACAUGGCAUCAGUUAAGGAAGUCAACAAGCCCCACGAAUGUCUUUCCUUAUUAUGGUCAAUUGCUCCAUGAUAUUUGAAACUCUUUACCAUUUCUGCAACUUUGAAAGUACAUUUAUUAGAUACGAAGCUCCAUUACUGUAAAAUCUUCAUUGCUUACAUGGUUAGCAGAUAUGCUGAUUCUGUACCUGCCUAUUUUUGACAGUUUAAUAGUUGAUGUUUAUUGUGUUAGAGACAAGGAAUAGGAGAGCAAAUAUAUUGCUUUGUUUCAAACAAAUGAAAACUACCAACAACGCUUUUCAAAAUUGAACCUGCACCAUAACCAAGCUUAAUCCAAAUCUUAAAACAUUUGGCAUAGAAAAUUCACUUAGUUAAAGCAAAACAGAUUACUUAGUUAAAACAUUUGGCAUAAAAAAAACACUUAGUUAAACUGGAACUGAUUUAUAGAUCCAUUUUUGGUGAUAAUUAUUUUAAAUAUGAAAUACAUUAUAUUGGGGAGAAUAAAUGUUAAAGCAUGAUAAAUUUAUAAAACCUAUAAUCUAAGAACCAUAAUGAGGUUAUAGGUUAUUUUAUCUUCAUGCAGAUAAAAACAUUUUGCGUUAAUAUCUUGGUUUUUGUUAGAGACAAGGAAUAGGAGAGCAAAUAUAUUGUUCUGUUUCAAUCAAAUGAAAAGUACAUUUUAUCUACCCUUGUAGAAGAACAUCUCGACGAAAAAUUACAAAGCAUGAAGAAGUGAAAUUAAAUUGAGCACCUAAAAAGGAAUUAAUGUAAGGGAAUUCUCUCUAGGAUAUAGAAUUUAAAGGAAUCUAAUUCACAAAUUAUGGUUGUAGCAUGGCCUAGAGUCAUCAAUACACAUCCAGCAAAAUAGUCAUGACAUACACAUUAAAGAAUUUGAUAAUGUGACUUGAGAAUGACUAUGUUAUUCAUGAGUCUACAAUUGGACAGUUGGACUAUUUUCUUUUGUGUUUUAGUUGUCUUAUUACUUUUAAAGAACUUAUUUUAUGGAAAUAAUUAUGACUGUUUGUACUAUUGGGAGUCACCCUUGAGUUUUCUGAUUUUGUUUGAUGCGUGAUUUAGAAGUUAUUUUCAUUAUCUAUGAUAUUUUUUUAUAAAUUAGUGUGUUUGAUUUUUCACUUUAGUAGAUUCUCACAAUCUAUUUUACUAUCCCACAACUAUCUCUCUCCACCAUCGGUUUCCUAUAUGAAAUCUUCAUUUUGACAACAUUGGUUCAAUUUGAAACACUCAUUGCUUCAACAUCGCUCACCUAAUUCACUGUUUUAAUCACUAACGUUUCCAGGUCUGGGACAAGUGCAGAUAAAGUUGGGAGAUUUUAAAAGUGCAUUCUCAAACUUUGAAAAGGUCCUAGUGGUAUACCCAUAAUUGUGAGACAUUGAAAUUAAGUUCGUCAAAUCGAAAGAAAUUUUACUUUCCCCCUUUUUUGUGUCAUUUCUCUUUCUAGGGCUUAAAUGCUUUUGCAGCAACAUAAGAGUCGCGUAACAUCUGUCACUGGAUCUUCUUUCUUCCUUCUCUUAUAUUGUUGUGUUGAUAUAUUGUCUUUUUUAUAGGCGCUUGGGCAUAUAUAUGUUCAGCUUGGUCAAAUCGACAAAGGCCAAGACUUUAUUAGGAGAGCUACAAAAAUUGAUCCGCUUGAUGCCCAGGUAGUCGUUGAGAGUGGCAAUAAAGAGCAGUCCGCUUGUAGAACUAAUUUUAAGUGAUGUAAGAUUAAAUAAAUCACUUGUAUAUGUCUAUACAUUGUCUUCAUAGAUUAGGCUCCUUAUGAUUUGGAAUCAUCCAAUAAUUAAAGGACUGAAGGAUAAGAUAGACUAGAUAGUUAGUUUAAGUCAUCCAUGACUUCUGAUUUCAUGUAACAUUUGGAAGGUAUUGUCUGAUCCAUCUAACUGACGGUACCAAUUGUAAUAAUAAAUUUCAUUUGAUGUCAA